RNAcentral lists this non-coding RNA (25 nucleotides) under Cricetulus griseus (Chinese hamster). The record is from RNAcentral. Lineage: Eukaryota; Metazoa; Chordata; Mammalia; Rodentia; Cricetidae.
UCUGUCAUUGGGAGACACAGAUCGU